Molecule: non-coding RNA, 236 nt
Organism: Cinara cedri
Lineage: Eukaryota; Metazoa; Arthropoda; Insecta; Hemiptera; Aphididae
Source: the annotation of a GenBank genome assembly
UUGCGCAUCAUAUCAAAAUAUUUCUAGGCGAAUAUUCUCUAUUCGAAUCUGUGUUCGAUUGGGGGAGUUCCUGUUUGAGUUUUGAACGUAUGCUAUUAUUUAUGGUACGCGGAGGGUGGGUGAAAAGUUAAAAAUAGUUUUAAAACACAGCUUAAACGAUUCCACAAUAAUUCAAAAAAAAAUUUAAAAAUAACAGGAAACAAAUUCGCAUCGAAUCGUCUCAGAAAAUUGCCAGU